AUGGCCGAGAGGGAGGGAGCGGUGGUGAAGAAGGGGCACGAGGAGGGCCUGAAGCUGGCGGCUUCGCUGCUGGAGGAGUUCGGGCUGCCCCUGGGCCUGCUGCCGCUGGCGGACGUGAUCGAGGUCGGCUUCGUGCGCGCCACCGGCUACAUGUGGAUCGCGCAGCAGAAGAAGGUGGAGCACCGCUUCAAGAUGGUGAGCAAGCAGGUGAGCUACGACGUGGAGAUCACCGGCUACGUCAAGACCAAGUGCAUCAAGAAGCUCAAGGGCGUCAAGGCCAAGGAGCUCAUGCUGUGGCCGCCCGUCAACGAGAUCACCGUCGACGACCCGCCCACCGGCAAGAUCGUCUUUAGGAGCCUCGCCGGCGUCACCAAGACCUUCCCCGUCGAGGCCUUCGCCGCGGGCCAGUAG
RNAcentral lists this ribosomal RNA (411 nucleotides) under Triticum aestivum (bread wheat). RNAcentral's name for it is "partial small subunit ribosomal RNA". Lineage: Eukaryota; Viridiplantae; Streptophyta; Magnoliopsida; Poales; Poaceae. The record is from RNAcentral.